AGCUAGUAGAGUUCCAUGUAAAUUAGCAAAGCUACACCAGUUUGCACCAGCUGGGGUUUAGUUGCUUUGUAGGAGCCCAAACUGGUACUGGAGGAACCUACAGUCACACUGGGUAUUUCUCUAAUUCAAGCACCUUCCAAACUCUGGAGUUUUAUUUCAAUCAAGAUUGAAGCCAUAGUGUGUAAAAUGCUUUGGGUAGAAGGAUGCAGAUGUAAUCAUAAUCACAGACAUGGACUGACACCAGGGCAACUGCACGGAGCAGGAAAGAUGGGGAAGGGAGGAGGAAGCUCCUGAAUAUGUCUAUGCUGAAAAUAUCCUAAUACCCCUCUGAUUCAGAGACGCUUUAUUGUUGUUCCCUCACACUGGUAACUCUUAGCUCCAUUGCAACAUCAGAGCUAUUUGAGCCAAGAUGGGGUAGGGGUAUGAGUUUAAAAGGUGUAAAUUCUGAAUUUAUUUAUGCAUUUAGUGCUUAGUAGAGAAACUGGAGUAAUAGCUGACAAUCAUCUAAUUACUGAAGUGGCCAAAAGCCACUGGACCUGAUUCUCCAUUGCCUGGAACACCUGGAGGCAUUUAUACCUUGACAAAGUGAAUGUUAACUACUGCCAGUGACACUGGAGUCAUCUGAUUUAGUAGCAUUUUACACCCUCUUAGCACUUCACUUCAUACAGGUAUGAAUGACUAUACAAUGUCAAGGUAGUGGAAAAUGACUCCCAUUAAGAUUUCUGCAUAUCUGGGUAAUAAAGCUGCCAUUACUUAAUGUACAUUUUCUGAUAUGUCCUUGAUUUUUCUCUACAGUGUUUAAAAAACAAAAAAGAACAAAGCUAAACAAACAUACCUACUAGUAAUUAGGGCAACUUUUACAUUAGACAGUACUUAGAUCCUAAGUUCAAGUGUAAUAAAUGCAUUGUCAUAUUUUAGUGUUAUUUAGUCUCAGAAAGUUUGUGUUAUCAAUUACCAAAUGAGAAAACCAUUUCCCACUUUCCCAAAAUAUCUAUCUUUCGUGUAGAAGUUGACACAAAAUGAAAUCCUGAUGUUUGUUACAGACUUGAAAUCUAGAUGUUUGAAAUCAGUUUUACAAAAACAUCUGAACAUAGGGAGUUUCAUCCAAAAUACCUCACAAUGUCUGUGGCUUGAUGAAUAGGGCACUAGACUGCGUCUUAAGAGUUUGGCUCUAUCCCCUGCUCUUUCACUAACCUGCUGUGUGUGACCUUUUUCAGAUCCAUGUUUGUUUCCACUACUACUAUUUAUUACAUUAAUAAAUAAGAUUAUUUCAAACACUGAUCUUCAAUAAUGCUUAGUUCAUAAGUA
Long non-coding RNA from Dermochelys coriacea (leatherback sea turtle), 1308 nucleotides. RefSeq lists it as uncharacterized. NCBI's taxonomy places the organism in Eukaryota, Metazoa, Chordata, Testudines, Dermochelyidae. The transcript is spliced from 3 exons. The record is from RefSeq and is a predicted model, not a curated record.